Molecule: ribosomal RNA, 433 nt
Filed under: uncultured bacterium
Lineage: Bacteria
Description: partial 16S ribosomal RNA
Rfam family: Bacterial small subunit ribosomal RNA
Source: RNAcentral
AGCGAACGCUGGCGGCAGGCCUAACACAUGCAAGUCGAACGAACUCUUCGGAGUUAGUGGCGGACGGGUGAGUAACACGUGGGAACGUGCCUUUUGGUUCGGAAUAACUCAGGGAAACUUGUGCUAAUACCGAAUGUGCCCUUCGGGGGAAAGAUUUAUCGCCAUUAGAGCGGCCCGCGUCUGAUUAGCUAGUUGGUGAGGUAACGGCUCACCAAGGCGACGAUCAGUAGCUGGUCUGAGAGGAUGACCAGCCACACUGGGACUGAGACACGGCCCAGACUCCUACGGGAGGCAGCAGUGGGGAAUCUUGCGCAAUGGGCGAAAGCCUGACGCAGCCAUGCCGUGUGAAUGAUGAAGGCCUUAGGAUUGUAAAAUUCUUUCACCGGGGACGAUAAUGACGGUACCCGGAGAAGAAGCCCCGGCUAACUUCGUG